GAAGAUAAAGCUCAAGUGGUAGAGCACAUGCCUAGCAUGCACAAGGUCCUGGGUUCAAUCCCCAGUGCCCCCU
RNAcentral lists this transfer RNA (73 nucleotides) under Camelus bactrianus (Bactrian camel). It matches the Rfam family "tRNA". From Rfam's summary of the family: Transfer RNA (tRNA) molecules are approximately 80 nucleotides in length. Their secondary structure includes four short double-helical elements and three loops (D, anti-codon, and T loops). Lineage: Eukaryota; Metazoa; Chordata; Mammalia; Artiodactyla; Camelidae. RNAcentral also lists the same sequence under 1 other name. The record is from Rfam by way of RNAcentral.